This 465-nucleotide ribosomal RNA is filed under the name Vreelandella stevensii. Its description in RNAcentral is "partial 16S ribosomal RNA". It matches the Rfam family "Bacterial small subunit ribosomal RNA", at positions 338 to 795 of the family's 1533-position model. The record is from RNAcentral. Lineage: Bacteria; Pseudomonadati; Pseudomonadota; Gammaproteobacteria; Oceanospirillales; Halomonadaceae.
CCUACGAGGGGCUGCAGUGGGGAAUAUUGGACAAUGGGCGAAAGCCUGAUCCAGCCAUGCCGCGUGUGUGAAGAAGGCCUUCGGGUUGUAAAGCACUUUCAGUGGGGAAGAAAGCCUUGGGGCUAAUACCCUCGAGGAAGGACAUCACCCACAGAAGAAGCACCGGCUAACUCCGUGCCAGCAGCCGCGGUAAUACGGAGGGUGCGAGCGUUAAUCGGAAUUACUGGGCGUAAAGCGCGCGUAGGCGGUCUGAUAAGCCGGUUGUGAAAGCCCCGGGCUCAACCUGGGAACGGCAUCCGGAACUGUCAGGCUAGAGUGCAGGAGAGGAAGGUAGAAUUCCCGGUGUAGCGGUGAAAUGCGUAGAGAUCGGGAGGAAUACCAGUGGCGAAGGCGGCCUUCUGGACUGACACUGACGCUGAGGUGCGAAAGCGUGGGUAGCAAACAGGAUUAGAUACCCCAGUAGUC